CUGUCAAGCUGCUCGGUCAGCUUGCAGACCAUCAGGAUCCAAACCCAUCUGCACUGGUGCCCUGGAGUAAAACACCAGCAGCCUGGUCCCAGCCAAGGAGUCACCAGCUCUGCAGGUACAAAGGUGCUGAAGGUUGAUUUGCACCUUAGAGAAACCACGAACCAGGAGCACAGCCCUCGGCAAUAAAUGCCCCGCUGCCCUAAGCCAGGGCCCAGAUUUGAAGCACUUCUGGUGAGUGCUUCAAAAAUCUGCCUCCUGUUCAUGGAGACCUCAAUAGGUAGCACAAAGGCUUUUCUCCCCUGGCUCAGUUCUCCAUGGCUCGCGGUGCUGCCCGAAGCUUUUCAGCUCUUCCCUCCACGUGGCCACGGCGUUGGGCACAGACGCAGCUCUUCCUCGAUGAAGGCAUCGCUUUGUGUCACCACUUUGGUCUCUGGAAGAAAAAUUGUUCCUCCAGGUCUUGCCAUCUGCUGCUAUUUAAAGGAACAUCAUCAUCAUCACCAAUACGUUCCGCUGGGGGUCCUAAGGACACAGGCGACUGAAGUCAGGCUCUGCAGAGAGGAACCCAAAGCUUCCCCAGGCAAACAGAAGUGAUCUGAGGGGCUGCAAACCCCUGAUGGCCACUGCAGCUGCUGCAGGUUUUUUGCAGUUAUUGCUUCCUGGGGAUGACCGCGAGGUCACGGGACCUUCCUGAUUUGUGUGCCGCCUGCUGACCUGCCACAUCGUGGGGUUUUUCUUCUGGUUUCUUGGGUACAGUUUCAGCAGAAGAUGAGAGAACCCCCUGGGGCUGGCACCUGCAUCUCUCACAUCCCAGCUGAGCGCCCUAGGGACUGCAUAGGAUAACGCACAUUAAAAAAAAAAAAAAAAAAAAAAGGAGAGAAAUAGGUAUGAAAUGUUGUUUUGGCCCUCAUGUUUGUCCCACAGUAUUAAAAAACAUAAAUAAAUCUGGAAAAAAAAAAAAUACAGGGGCAAGGAGCGUCCCUCUUUGGAGGUCUUCAGAACCCAGGUUCUUCCCAACCUCAACUGUUCUGCAAUUUUGUGACAAAAUCCUGAGCUAUUUGGUUUAUUUAGAUUUACUGAAGUGCCACUGUGCUUGUCUCUGCCUGGUGCCAGCACCCAGGCUCCUGUAACCAUCCCUAGCCAUGUGCACCCAUAUGUGACGUGCAAGCAGCCACGCGCAGGAGCUGCCUGGCAAAGCUUUGCAGUGCCCACAGCUUGGCACAAGCUGGGUGUUUGUAGCUCCUGGUCCUGCUCCGUGGGCUCGGAGCAGCUGACCAAGCUGUGUGUCACCCCCCCGGGCUCAGGACCAGGGCUUUCCAGAAGAGGAGCUCACGCUUUGCUUUGAAGACAGCAAGGGACAAGGAAUCCGCGGCAUUCCUGGCGUAUUCCGGCGGCGGGCUGCCCUUGUUGAAAACCAGAUGUCUCCUUUCCAAUUCGCAUGUUGCUGACUUCCAGUUCCAGCCCUCACACCUUCUUCUGCUUUUUUUUCGGAGCCCGAAUCGAUCGCCUCCCCUCCCUCCCAUCUGCCGCUGCCGCCCAGCGAAGCACCAGCCUCACCUGUCCCCAAGCAGCUUGCCCUCCCUGGGCGUGAAUAAAGCAGAGCUAUUGGGGUCGCAAAGAUCAACGACGUCGUAAAACACUUCAAGCGUAUUCCUUUGCAUCGGGCCUGGGCUGUGAUGGCCAUUCCGUGGACACAAGGCCUUAAUGUGCACAGCCCUGAUCUGUUUUUCCCAUCGCUGACACUUCGUUGACCUACCUGCUUAGGAGAGUGAUGUGGGUCUGUCCUUAGUGCAAUUUUCCUCCUUUUGGAGAGUGAUAAAUCUGUUAGGGCAUGUAUUUAUUUUUUUUCCUGCUUUACAGCUUGCCAUAAAUACUCAAUAGUAUCGUCUUACUCGGGCUGGUGGCUCCUGGGCUAGCAAUGCUCAGUGCCCCCACGAGCAGCUCCUGGUGGGGCACGGGGGAGGCUGGGGACAGCCAAAGCACCCACACCUGUGAUGCCAGCACGGAGUCCUCAUGAGCAAGAAAAGAAGGAUUUUCUUCUUAUUGAUGGCUUAAAGGUCAAGCUUGGCUUUGUUCUGUACACACAGAAUAAUUUAGCUUUUCUCUUUGGUGCUCUCCCCUGUAGGUAAUAAAUUAAUUUAAUUUGA
This is a non-coding RNA of Anas platyrhynchos (mallard), 2144 nucleotides long. The record is from RefSeq and is a predicted model, not a curated record. Lineage: Eukaryota; Metazoa; Chordata; Aves; Anseriformes; Anatidae.